GGCGAACGGGUGAGUAACACGUGGGUAAUCUGCCCUGCACUAUGGGAUAAGCCUGGGAAACUGGGUCUAAUACUGGAUAUGACCUUUCUCCUUAUGGGGUUUGGUGGAAAGUUUUCGGUGUAGGAUGAGCCCGCGGCCUAUCAGCUUGUUGGUGGGGUGAUGGCCUACCAAGGCGACGACGGGUAGCCGGCCUGAGAGGGUGAUCGGCCACAUUGGGACUGAGAUACGGCCCAG
RNAcentral lists this ribosomal RNA (234 nucleotides) under uncultured Actinomycetales bacterium. RNAcentral's name for it is "partial 16S ribosomal RNA". It matches the Rfam family "Bacterial small subunit ribosomal RNA", at positions 97 to 334 of the family's 1533-position model. Lineage: Bacteria; Bacillati; Actinomycetota; Actinomycetes; Actinomycetales. The record is from RNAcentral.